RNAcentral lists this ribosomal RNA (1262 nucleotides) under Salmonella enterica. RNAcentral describes it as "partial 23S ribosomal RNA". It matches the Rfam family "Bacterial large subunit ribosomal RNA", at positions 1 to 1297 of the family's 2925-position model. The record is from RNAcentral. Lineage: Bacteria; Pseudomonadati; Pseudomonadota; Gammaproteobacteria; Enterobacterales; Enterobacteriaceae.
GGUUAAGCGACUAAGCGUACACGGUGGAUGCCCUGGCAGUCAGAGGCGAUGAAGGGCGUGCUAAUCUGCGAUAAGCGCCGGUAAGGUGAUAUGAACCGUUAUAACCGGCGAUACCCGAAUGGGGAAACCCAGUGUGACUCGUCACACUAUCAUUAACUGAAUCCAUAGGUUAAUGAGGCGAACCGGGGGAACUGAAACAUCUAAGUACCCCGAGGAAAAGAAAUCAACCGAGAUUCCCCCAGUAGCGGCGAGCGAACGGGGAGGAGCCCAGAGCCUGAAUCAGCAUGUGUGUUAGUGGAAGCGUCUGGAAAGACGCGCGAUACAGGGUGACAGCCCCGUACACAAAAGCGUAUGUGCUGUGAGCUCGAUGAGUAGGGCGGGACACGUGGUAUCCUGUCUGAAUAUGGGGGGACCAUCCUCCAAGGCUAAAUACUCCUGACUGACCGAUAGUGAACCAGUACCGUGAGGGAAAGGCGAAAAGAACCCCGGCGAGGGGAGUGAAAAAGAACCUGAAACCGUGUACGUACAAGCAGUGGGAGCACAGGUUUACCUGUGUGACUGCGUACCUUUUGUAUAAUGGGUCAGCGACUUAUAUUCUGUAGCAAGGUUAACCGAAUAGGGGAGCCGGAGGGAAACCGAGUCUUAAUUGGGCGUUAAGUUGCAGGGUAUAGACCCGAAACCCGGUGAUCUAGCCAUGGGCAGGUUGAAGGUUGGGUAACACUAACUGGAGGACCGAACCGACUAAUGUUGAAAAAUUAGCGGAUGACCUGUGGCUGGGGGUGAAAGGCCAAUCAAACCGGGAGAUAGCUGGUUCUCCCCGAAAGCUAUUUAGGUAGCGCCUCGUGAAUUCAUCUCCGGGGGUAGAGCACUGUUUCGGCUAGGGGGUCAUCCCGACUUACCAACCCGAUGCAAACUGCGAAUACCGGAGAAUGUUAUCACGGGAGACACACGGCGGGUGCUAACGUCCGUCGUGAAGAGGGAAACAACCCAGACCGCCAGCUAAGGUCCCAAAGUCAUGGUUAAGUGGGAAACGAUGUGGGAAGGCCCAGACAGCCAGGAUGUUGGCUUAGAAGCAGCCAUCAUUUAAAGAAAGCGUAAUAGCUCACUGGUCGAGUCGGCCUGCGCGGAAGAUGUAACGGGGCUAAACCAUGCACCGAAGCUGCGGCAGCGAACGUAUCACUUAAAGCGAUUCAGCGGGUUACGAUUGACGGAGCGAAGCGACGUCAAAGCGUAUACAAAGUCGAGUCGGUUUAAGGAUACGU